This 496-nucleotide ribosomal RNA is filed under the name uncultured bacterium. RNAcentral describes it as "partial 16S ribosomal RNA". It matches the Rfam family "Bacterial small subunit ribosomal RNA", at positions 28 to 506 of the family's 1533-position model. The record is from RNAcentral.
GAUGAACGCUGGCGGCGUGCCUAAUACAUGCAAGUCGAGCGAACAGACGAGGAGCUUGCUCCUCUGACGUUAGCGGCGGACGGGUGAGUAACACGUGGAUAACCUACCUAUAAGACUGGGAUAACUUCGGGAAACCGGAGCUAAUACCGGAUAAUAUAUUGAACCGCAUGGUUCAAUAGUGAAAGACGGUUUUGCUGUCACUUAUAGAUGGAUCCGCGCCGCAUUAGCUAGUUGGUAAGGUAACGGCUUACCAAGGCAACGAUGCGUAGCCGACCUGAGAGGGUGAUCGGCCACACUGGAACUGAGACACGGUCCAGACUCCUACGGGAGGCAGCAGUAGGGAAUCUUCCGCAAUGGGCGAAAGCUUGACGGAGCAACGCCGCGUGAGUGAUGAAGGUCUUCGGAUCGUAAAACUCUGUUAUUAGGGAAGAACAAAUGUGUAAGUAACUAUGCACGUCUUGACGGUACCUAAUCAGAAAGCCACGGCUACCUACGU